GAGAGCCGGAUGCGGUGAAAGUCGCACGUCCGGUUCGGAGGGCGGGCCGGGGAAACCCACUAGCCGAG
Molecule: non-coding RNA, 68 nt
Filed under: Rhodococcus rhodochrous J3
Lineage: Bacteria; Bacillati; Actinomycetota; Actinomycetes; Mycobacteriales; Nocardiaceae
Source: RNAcentral